Molecule: small nucleolar RNA, 107 nt
Organism: Dendrobium catenatum
Lineage: Eukaryota; Viridiplantae; Streptophyta; Magnoliopsida; Asparagales; Orchidaceae
Source: RefSeq, a predicted model, not a curated record
AAUUCAUGAUGAGAGCACUUUCUAAGCAUUUCAUUUAAUUAUUCCCAACUCUCAUAAAUGGAUUCUCCUUUAAAUUGAGUAAAAUAAGUUAAGUCAUUUAUAGGUUU